GAUGAACGCUGGCGGCGUGCCUAAUACAUGCCAGUCGAGCGAACAGACGAGGAGCUUGCUCCUCUGACGUUAGCGGCGGACGGGUGAGUAACACGUGGAUAACCUACCUAUAAGACUGGGAUAACUUCGGGAAACCGGAGCUAAUACCGGAUAAUAUAUUGAACCGCAUGGUUCAAUAGUGAAAGACGGCUUUGCUGUCACUUAUAGAUGGAUCCGCGCCGCAUUAGCUAGUUGGUAAGGUAACGGCUUACCAAGGCAACGAUGCGUAGCCGACCUGAGAGGGUGAUCGGCCACACUGGAACUGAGACACGGUCCAGACUCCUACGGGAGGCAGCAGUAGGGAAUCUUCCGCAAUGGGCGAAAGCCUGACGGAGCAACGCCGCGUGAGUGAUGAAGGUCUUCGGAUCGUAAAACUCUGUUAUUAGGGAAGAACAAAUGUGUAAGUAACUAUGCACGUCUUGACGGUACCUGAUCAGAAAGCCACGGCUAACUACGUG
This 497-nucleotide ribosomal RNA is filed under the name uncultured bacterium. RNAcentral's name for it is "partial 16S ribosomal RNA". It matches the Rfam family "Bacterial small subunit ribosomal RNA", at positions 28 to 507 of the family's 1533-position model. The record is from RNAcentral.